Molecule: ribosomal RNA, 662 nt
Filed under: Phormidium lucidum FACHB-238
Lineage: Bacteria; Bacillati; Cyanobacteriota; Cyanophyceae; Oscillatoriales; Oscillatoriaceae
Description: bacterial SSU rRNA
Rfam family: Bacterial small subunit ribosomal RNA
Source: RNAcentral
CGGACGGGUGAGUAACGCGUGAGAACAUGCCUUUAGAUUGGGGACAACAGUUGGAAACGACUGCUAAUACCGAAUGUGCCUUAGGGUGAAAGAUUUAUUGUCUAGAGGUUGGCUCGCGUCAGAUUAGCUAGUUGGAGUGGUAACGGCACACCAAGGCGACGAUCUGUACUUGGUCUGAGAGGAUGACCAGGCACACUGGAACUGAGACACGGUCCAGACUCCUACGGGAGGCAGCAGUGGGGAAUUUUCCGCAAUGGGCGAAAGCCUGACGGAGCAAUACCGCGUGAGGGAGGACGGCUUUUGGGUUGUAAACCUCUUUUAUCAGGGAAGAAUCGAUGACGGUACCUGAUGAAUCAGCAUCGGCUAACUCCGUGCCAGCAGCCGCGGUAAUACGGAGGAUGCAAGCGUUAUCCGGAAUUAUUGGGCGUAAAGCGUCCGUAGGUGGUUUAUCAAGUCUGCUGUCAAAGCGUGCGGCUUAACCGCAUAAGGGCAGUGGAAACUGAUGAACUAGAGUGCGAUAGGGGUAACAGGAAUUCCCAGUGUAGCGGUGAAAUGCGUAGAUAUUGGGAAGAACACCAGCGGCGAAAGCGUGUUACUGGGUCUGCACUGACACUGAGGGACGAAAGCUAGGGGAGCGAAAGGGAUUAGAUACCCCUGUAGUC